CCUGGCUCAGAUUGAACGCUGGCGGCAUGCCUAACACAUGCAAGUCGAACGGCAGCACGGACUAGUUUACUAGUUGGGUGGCGAGUGGCGAACGGGUGAGUAACGCGUAGGAAUAUACCUUAGAGAGGGGGAUAACAUGGGGAAACUCAUGCUAAUACCGCAUACGUUCUUAGGAAUAAAGCUGGGGACCUUAUGGCCUGGCGCUUUAAGAUUAGCCU
This 218-nucleotide ribosomal RNA is filed under the name uncultured bacterium. RNAcentral's name for it is "partial 16S ribosomal RNA". It matches the Rfam family "Bacterial small subunit ribosomal RNA", at positions 18 to 232 of the family's 1533-position model. The record is from RNAcentral.